Long non-coding RNA from Mastomys coucha (southern multimammate mouse), 415 nucleotides. RefSeq lists it as uncharacterized. The transcript is spliced from 3 exons. The record is from RefSeq and is a predicted model, not a curated record. Lineage: Eukaryota; Metazoa; Chordata; Mammalia; Rodentia; Muridae.
CCAAAAGGGAGACUCGCCUGGGGAACUCAGAGGAGAUGGAAGUAAACCAGCAAAGAGUUGAACUCAGGACAGACUAGAAUAAGGAGAGAUUCGAGUGAGAAAGUUGAGAGAGACGGGAAGGAAGAAGGUCGGGACUGAGAAGAGUUUUCAGAGCAGACUGAAAGCCAGCAGUUCUUCAGACCCUCCAGGACUCCAGAUCAGAACUGCAGCAACAUCCAGCCUCCUGGAAUGAAUGGCUACCAGAUUAUCAGCCCUUCCACAAAGAGAGCCAGUAUUGGACUGCCAUGACCGCAACCUACAACUCUAGCGGACGGCUGGAAACAUGAUCACCUGCCUAGAGGGAGCCCAAAGCAGAUUAACUAUUUGCCACUACAGUAAGUAUCUUGUAUCUGAUAAAAUUUCCCUUAUACUAGAU